RNAcentral lists this ribosomal RNA (253 nucleotides) under uncultured bacterium. RNAcentral describes it as "partial 16S ribosomal RNA". It matches the Rfam family "Bacterial small subunit ribosomal RNA", at positions 524 to 776 of the family's 1533-position model. The record is from RNAcentral.
UACGGGGGGGGCAAGCGUUGUUCGGAAUUACUGGGCGUCAAGGGCUCGUAGGUGGCCAACUAAGUCAUACGUGAAAUCCCUCGGCUUAACCGGGGAACUGCGUCUGAUACUGGAUGGCUUGAAUUCGGGAGAGGGAUGCAGAAUUCCAGGUGUAGCGGUGAAAUGCGUAGAUAUCUGGAGGAAUACCGGUGGCGAAGGCGGCAUCCUGGACCGACAUUGACGCUGAGGAGCGAAAGCUAGGGGAGCAAACGGG